RNAcentral lists this ribosomal RNA (332 nucleotides) under uncultured Planctomycetota bacterium. RNAcentral's name for it is "bacterial SSU rRNA". It matches the Rfam family "Bacterial small subunit ribosomal RNA", at positions 568 to 898 of the family's 1533-position model. The record is from RNAcentral. Lineage: Bacteria; Pseudomonadati; Planctomycetota.
UGCGUAGGCGGGUCAGUAAGCGCUUUGUGAAAUCCCACAGCUCAACUGUGGAACCGCAGGGCGAACUGCUGAUCUUGAGGAAGCUAGAGGCUGGUAGAACGAUAGGUGGAGCGGUGGAAUGCGUAGAGAUCUAUCGGAAUGCCGAAAGUGAAGACAGCCAGCUGGGGCUUUCCUGACGCUAAAGCACGAAAGCGUGGGGAGCAAACCGGAUUAGAUACCCGGGUAGUCCACGCCCUAAACGAUGUGCACUAGACUGGAGCGGCUCUGACGUCGUUCUGGUCGUAGAGAAAUUGUUAAGUGCACCGCCUGGGUAGUACGGUCGCAAGGCUAAA